ACACAUGCAAGUCGAGGGGCAGCAUGGUCUUAGCUUGCUAAGGCCGAUGGCGACCGGCGCACGGGUGAGUAACACGUAUCCAACCUGCCGUCUACUCUUGGACAGCCUUCUGAAAGGAAGAUUAAUACAAGAUGGCAUCAUGAGUCCGCAUGUUCACAUGAUUAAAGGUAUUCCGGUAGACGAUGGGGAUGCGUUCCAUUAGAUAGUAGGCGGGGUAACGGCCCACCUAGUCUUCGAUGGAUAGGGGUUCUGAGAGGAAGGUCCCCCACAUUGGAACUGAGACACGGUCCAAACUCCUACGGGAGGCAGCAGUGAGGAAUAUUGGUCAAUGGGCGAGAGCCUGAACCAGCCAAGUAGCGUGAAGGAUGACUGCCCUAUGGGUUGUAAACUUCUUUUAUAAAGGAAUAAAGUCGGGUAUGCAUACCCGUUUGCAUGUACUUUAUGAAUAAGGAUCGGCUAACUCCGUGCCAGCAGCCGCGGUAAUACGGAGGAUCCGAGCGUUAUCCGGAUUUAUUGGGUUUAAAGGGAGCGUAGAUGGAUGUUUAAGUCAGUUGUGAAAGUUUGCGGCUCAACCGUAAAAUUGCAGUUGAUACUGGAUAUCUUGAGUGCAGUUGAGGCAGGCGGAAUUCGUGGUGUAGCGGUGAAAUGCUUAGAUAUCACGAAGAACUCCGAUUGCGAAGGCAGCCUGCUAAGCUGCAACUGACAUUGAGGCUCGAAAGUGUGGGUAUCAAACAGG
Molecule: ribosomal RNA, 736 nt
Filed under: uncultured bacterium
Lineage: Bacteria
Description: bacterial SSU rRNA
Rfam family: Bacterial small subunit ribosomal RNA
Source: RNAcentral